This 426-nucleotide long non-coding RNA is filed under the name Homo sapiens (human). Its description in RNAcentral is "non-protein coding lnc-CDKL2-2:3". The record is from RNAcentral. Lineage: Eukaryota; Metazoa; Chordata; Mammalia; Primates; Hominidae.
GCUCCGCGGCGCGAGGCAAUCGUCCGGUGUGUGAGCCCGGGAGCCGGAGGUGUAGCGGCAGAGACAUUGUUCUUGCCGGCUCCCUACGGUGCCGUGUGUGCGUGAGAGAAGACCAGUCUUUCCUCUAGGUUUUAUGGCAGGAAUUCUUCCUAUGUUCAUGGUGGAGUAGAUGCUAGUGGAAAGCCCCAGGAAGCUGUUUAUGGCCAAAAUGAUAUACACCACAAAGUAUUAUCUCUGAACUUCAGUGAAUGUCAUACUAAAAUUCGUCAUGUGGAUGCUCAUGCAACCUUGAGUGAUGGAGUAGUUGUCCAGGUCAUGGGUUUGCUGUCUAACAGUGGACAACCAGAAAGAAAGUUUAUGCAAACCUUUGUUCUGGCUCCUGAAGGAUCUGUUCCAAAUAAAUUUUAUGUUCACAAUGAUAUGUUU